RNAcentral lists this ribosomal RNA (492 nucleotides) under uncultured bacterium. RNAcentral's name for it is "partial 16S ribosomal RNA". It matches the Rfam family "Bacterial small subunit ribosomal RNA", at positions 29 to 507 of the family's 1533-position model. The record is from RNAcentral.
AGUGAACGCUGGCGGUAGGCCUAACACAUGCAAGUCGAACGGCAGCACAGUAAGAGCUUGCUCUUACGGGUGGCGAGUGGCGGACGGGUGAGGAAUACAUCGGAAUCUACUUUUUCGUGGGGGAUAACGUAGGGAAACUUACGCUAAUACCGCAUACGACCUACGGGUGAAAGCAGGGGAUCUUCGGACCUUGCGCGAUUGAAUGAGCCGAUGUCGGAUUAGCUAGUUGGCGGGGUAAAGGCCCACCAAGGCGACGAUCUGUAGCUGGUCUGAGAGGAUGAUCAGCCACACUGGAACUGAGACACGGUCCAGACUCCUACGGGAGGCAGCAGUGGGGAAUAUUGGACAAUGGGCGCAAGCCUGAUCCAGCCAUACCGCGUGGGUGAAGAAGGCCUUCGGGUUGUAAAGCCCCUUUGUUGGGAAAGAAAAGCAGCAGGUUAAUACCCCGCUGUUCUGACGGUACCCAAAGAAUAAGCACCGGCUAACUUCGUG